Molecule: ribosomal RNA, 253 nt
Filed under: uncultured bacterium
Lineage: Bacteria
Description: partial 16S ribosomal RNA
Rfam family: Bacterial small subunit ribosomal RNA
Source: RNAcentral
UACGUAGGGGGCAAGCGUUAUCCGGAUUUACUGGGUGUAAAGGGAGCGCAGGCGGUACGGCAAGUCCGAUGUGAAAGCCCGGGGCUCAACCCCGGGACUGCAUUGGAAACUGCCGCACUAGAGUGCCGGAGAGGUAAGUGGAAUUCCUAGUGUAGCGGUGAAAUGCGUAGAUAUUAGGAGGAACACCAGUGGCGAAGGCGGCUUACUGGACGGUAACUGACGCUGAGGCUCGAAAGCGUGGGGAGCAAACAGG